Bufo bufo (common toad) is the source of this 117-nucleotide long non-coding RNA. RefSeq lists it as uncharacterized. NCBI's taxonomy places the organism in Eukaryota, Metazoa, Chordata, Amphibia, Anura, Bufonidae. The transcript has 3 exons. The record is from RefSeq and is a predicted model, not a curated record.
GUGUAUAAGAAAGACAGCAGAGUUGGAGAGGGUUAGGAGGAAGGCAACUAAAGUAAUAACUGGAAUGGGGGGACUACAGUACCCUGAAAGAUUAUCAAAAUUAGAGUUAUUCACUUU